Molecule: ribosomal RNA, 445 nt
Filed under: uncultured bacterium
Lineage: Bacteria
Description: partial 16S ribosomal RNA
Rfam family: Bacterial small subunit ribosomal RNA
Source: RNAcentral
GUGAGGAAUAUUGGACAAUGGGCGCAAGCCUGAUCCAGCCAUACCGCGUGCAGGAAGACGCAUCUAUGGUGUGUAAACUGCUUUUGUACGGGAAGAAACACUCCCUCGUGAGGGAGCUUGACGGUACCGUAAGAAUAAGGAUCGGCUAACUCCGUGCCAGCAGCCGCGGUAAUACGGAGGAUCCAAGCGUUAUCCGGAAUCAUUGGGUUUAAAGGGUCCGUAGGCGGUUUAAUAAGUCAGUGGUGAAAGCCCAUCGCUCAACGAUGGAACGGCCAUUGAUACUGUUAGACUUGAAUUACAAGGAAGUAACUAGAAUAUGUAGUGUAGCGGUGAAAUGCUUAGAUAUUACAUGGAAUACCAAUUGCGAAGGCAGGUUACUACUUGUGGAUUGACGCUGAUGGACGAAAGCGUGGGGAGCGAACAGGAUUAGAUACCCUUGUAGUCC